This 370-nucleotide long non-coding RNA is filed under the name Coffea arabica (coffee). RNAcentral's name for it is "long non-coding RNA (CARA_LNC005335)". Lineage: Eukaryota; Viridiplantae; Streptophyta; Magnoliopsida; Gentianales; Rubiaceae. The record is from RNAcentral.
GUAGGGGUAUUUUGGACUUUUCACGUUCUGCGUUGCUCCGAUUGAGCUGAAAUUUUGCAGGUAACUAUAAAAUACCAUUAUAUACAACUUUCAUGUUUUAUGCCAAGCCAAAUUCGGCCUCUAACAUGGUGCAACAAAAACGGGCAGAAUAGGAUGAAAAUUUCCAGAAAUCUGAAAUCUUUUGGUUUCGAUUGAACUUUCUUCAAUUCCUUGUUCCAAUCACUACCAAAGCCCCUUGUAUAAUCUUAUAUACAACAUAUACUAACUAUACAACAAGUUUAGGCAGAAAUUAAUCAAACUCUAACUUACAUAUUUCAUCCAACAAUCACCACAACAACUUGCAUCACUUGUAAUCAAACCCAAAACAUGG